Long non-coding RNA from Gallus gallus (chicken), 1414 nucleotides. RefSeq lists it as uncharacterized. The record is from RefSeq and is a predicted model, not a curated record. The transcript is spliced from 2 exons. NCBI's taxonomy places the organism in Eukaryota, Metazoa, Chordata, Aves, Galliformes, Phasianidae.
GCUUUUUUCCAGGGCUUCUCUGCACGCAGUGCUGCCCCAUGUCUUCCCAGCCCCAGGAGGGCUCCCAGGAAAUGGGAGAAACACAGCAGUAAUUCACUGCAGGGAUGGGCGACAAGACUUCGUAUUUGGAGCUCUGCCUUAGAAGUGAGACGCAAGGCCCUCAGAAGGUACUGAACAGGCGGCUUCAUAUGGUCCUUUGGUGGAGUUUGCAACAGAGGCACAAAAGAUGGAAGAUGCAGGCACGUGGCACCAAAUGGUUUUCCUUUCCAGUUGCCAGCUGGAGCAGAUACUAUGGCCUCUUACAACACCAAACAAUUUGAAAGGAAUCAAAAUGCACUAUAAUAUUACAGUAAAUUAACUGAGUAAAUUAACCUGCUGAAACCCGUUGAAGAAAAAUUGUUCCUGGUUUACUAUGAAAGUGUAAGAAUUAUAGUAUGCACAUGAGCAAUGGUUACUUGGAAAGCAUAAGGUAUAGAUUUUUGAAAAAAUCUGUUGGCAUCACUAGAUGGCAUUGGAGGGUGGUUUAUCUCACCAUAGGAGAAAGGUAGGUACACUAGUAGGUAAAGAAUUGAUUCUAAGCAAGCUGAAGGCAUGUCCAGUGAGACUUUGGAGAGUGAAUUGCAACACAAAGCAAGAGCCAAUGUUGGCUGAUCAGUUACUGCUAUGCUGGAAUUUCAUUCUGUCGCACAGAAGCAAUCCAACACUGGUGAGCAAGAACUGGAAGACUGAAGCUCAGAUAGAAAUAACUUGCAGAGUGCUGAACAGACUGAGAACUGAUAGCACACGGGCUGGUGACCACAGAGAGGUGAGAGUUAAUCCGUUUCUGAGAUUUAGCAGGGAAUUUUGGUACUGCACGCUCGUUGCUCCACCACAGUAAAUUGUGACCACCAAACAAAUAUUUCUUAUCUAAAUGGCAUCUGUUUUUCUCAUACCUUUUUAUUACCUAGUUCCCAUGCCCCUUUCCUAUUGCUUUUUAAAUGAUGUAUAUUUACCAUCCCGUGAUGUUUUUGUCUAGCAUCAGCAUCCAUUUGGGAAUUACUGUUAAUUUCAAUCAGUAGACUCAGUAGCACCACAACUACAGUGGUUUCUGAAUUGCAUGAGUAUUAUUACGCUCACACAGUUCUCUUUUAUUCACACUCUAGUAGUUGCUAAAAAAAAAAAAAAACACAAAGAAAAGUAUGUUCCUGCGUAACCACAUAAUUCAAGGAGCUUGGUCUUUAAGAAAUAAACCAUACAUCAGAGUAAUGGUAGGUCAUGAAACACAUGUUGCAAUAUAAGGCUGAAAUAUGGUAAUUUCUUUUCACAUCUGCCACCUUGACCUGCAACCCAAGUUAUUAAACGUUAAUUCUCUAGGUAGAAUGUACAGUCUAUUUGCAGACUCAUUGCCUAUACAAUAAAGCAGAUAUUAUUUUUU